GCUCAAAUUUGAAAUCUUCAAGGUUCUACCUUGACGAAUUGUAGUUUAAAGAAGUGUUUUCUGUUAGUGGAGUGGCAAAAGUUCUUUGGAAUAGGACAUCAUAGAGGGUGAGAAUCCCGUAUUUGGUCAUUCCUUCUAGCUUUGUGAUACACUUUCAAAGAGUCGGAUUGUUUGGGAAUGCAGUCCAAAAUGGGUGGUAAAUUUCAUCUAAAGCUAAAUAUUGGCGAGAGACCGAUAGCGAACAAGUACCGUGAGGGAAAGAUGAAAAGAACUUUGAAAAGAGAGUUAAACAGUACGUGAAAUUGUCAAAAGGGAAGCGUUUGACACCAGUGUUGUUUUUCCGAAAAUCAAUUAUAAAUGUUUUGUUUCUGAGGAGUGAUGACUUCAUCGGCUUCCUUCUCUCUUCACGAAACUUUUGUAAUGCACUUUUCGGUUAACAAG
RNAcentral lists this ribosomal RNA (441 nucleotides) under uncultured Neocallimastigomycetes. Its description in RNAcentral is "LSU rRNA". It matches the Rfam family "Eukaryotic large subunit ribosomal RNA", at positions 107 to 555 of the family's 3401-position model. Lineage: Eukaryota; Fungi; Neocallimastigomycota; Neocallimastigomycetes. The record is from RNAcentral.